GACGAAGAAGUAAUCAUCAGAAUACUGAGAAGGGAAAGUUAGUCAUUUGGGCUUUAAACCGCCUGGCUUCUCGUAUAUGUUUCUUGGGUGCCUUAAUCAUUUUCUGGUCGGCCUUAUCACUAAAUGUGUCGAGAGAAGACUUCAUUUUCUCUUUUCUCCUUCUUUCUUCUUCGUCUUUCUUCUUAUCUUUCUUUUCCUCUUCUUCUGCGUUCUUCAUCUGUUGAUGAAUAAAUAUGAUGAGUUAGUGGUUCAGAGAGCUAGAGUUGAGAUGAGAGUCCAUAGAUUGGUUGUUAAUGGUAGACUUGAUGUUAUUUGAGCACAGGAUGAGGAUGUUUGAAGAUGGAUUGAUGAAUCAAAGAGCUAGGGUUUCCGUGAAUUGAAUUCGAGUUCUUAGGUGAAAUGAGGGGUGAUUUGGGUUGCUGCUAGUGGAAUAACUUAAGGGUUGUAAUUAAAUUGAAGUUAUGAAUUUGAUUUAGAGUCGAAUUGAAGAGUUAGGGUUUGUGAGAAAGGUCAGGGAAGAUGAAUUUGAUGUAAAGGGGGUUGAAUUAAAGGAUGGGCUCGAUGGUAUUGAAGAGGUUGAUUGAUGUUUUAAGUUUGAAUUCGAGAUUGGAGGUGAUUGAGGUUUGUGUUCUUCAAGAAAUAGGAAUUAAGGUUUCUCUGCUAAUUGAUGAAUGUUUGAAUUGAGGUUUUAAAGGGGAGAUUCGAGUUGGGUUUUGAUCAGGUAUGAAGUAGUAAUGUUUGCAUGGGUUUAAUUUUGAUUUCAGUUCCUCAUGUUCUUCCCCAAAUUAGAAUUAGGGUUUCUGAAUUUAUUGGAAAUUAGAGUGGAGUUGUUUAAAUAGAAAUUAUAGGCUGGGUAUGGUUGAUGUGAGAAGUUAGAAUUAUCUUUUGAACUUAGAAUUAGAAAAUAAAGGAUUUGAGGAUUGUUUUGAGGUUUUGCUGAGAACCGGCGAUGAGGUUGAUUAAAGAUGGGUGUUUGGAGAUUGAUGAAUUUAAGGUUACAACAGUUGGAGUUGAUGAAACAACAAUUCAGGGAAGACUAUUGUUGGGGAAGAGGUUGGUAGUCUGCUAUUGAACUAGUGAUGCAGAUGAAGCUGUUAGUGGAUUUAACUUGAAAGAUAUUGUUUGAAAAGAAUUAUUCUUGUUCAUUUUUGAGAUUAAGUGAAUUCUGAUGAAGCUCAGAAUUUAAUUGAUAUGACAUGGAUCUUUGUUGGUUUGUAGUGAAGUACAAGGUUUCGGAAUGGUAUUCUUUUGGGAGUUGCCGGUGGUUGUAGGUUGAAUUACAAGACUGGUGGAGAUGGAAUUAGAAUUGGUUCGAGUGUGUGUGUUGGUGGUUUAAGGAGUUGUUUAACAGUUCAGUUGAGGGAGUGAACUGAAUUUAGAAGAAGCUGAGUAUUGCCUCAGUUACAGGUAAUCUGUAUUUGAAUUUAAAGUGAAUUAUGAAGUUUAUAUGCAUUGAGUGUAUGAUUGAAGUGUUAAGCUGAAGUUGAUAUUUGUGAACAAUCUGGUAGAACUGAAUGAAGAGAAGUUGGAUGGUUGAGUAUAGAGUUGUAAAUAGUGUUGGCUAUGAAAAGCUUGGAACUGCAAUUGUAGGUAAGCAUAAUAUUUGUAUUUGUGAAUUAGCUAUGGAGUUGCUUUCAAAUGAAUGUUUUGAUGUAAUGAAAUAGAUUGAAGUUGAA
Molecule: long non-coding RNA, 1676 nt
Organism: Papaver somniferum (opium poppy)
Lineage: Eukaryota; Viridiplantae; Streptophyta; Magnoliopsida; Ranunculales; Papaveraceae
Exons: 2
Source: RefSeq, a predicted model, not a curated record